Molecule: ribosomal RNA, 1505 nt
Filed under: metagenome
Description: bacterial SSU rRNA
Rfam family: Bacterial small subunit ribosomal RNA
Source: RNAcentral
AGAGUUUGAUCAUGGCUCAGGACGAACGCUGGCGGCGUGCCUAAUACAUGCAAGUAGAACGCUGAAGAGAGGAGCUUGCUCUUCUUGGAUGAGUUGCGAACGGGUGAGUAACGCGUAGGUAACCUGCCUUGUAGCGGGGGAUAACUAUUGGAAACGAUAGCUAAUACCGCAUAACAAUGGAUGACUCAUGUCAUUUAUUUGAAAGGGGCAAAUGCUCCACUACAAGAUGGACCUGCGUUGUAUUAGCUAGUAGGUGAGGUAACGGCUCACCUAGGCGACGAUACAUAGCCGACCUGAGAGGGUGAUCGGCCACACUGGGACUGAGACACGGCCCAGACUCCUACGGGAGGCAGCAGUAGGGAAUCUUCGGCAAUGGGGGCAACCCUGACCGAGCAACGCCGCGUGAGUGAAGAAGGUUUUCGGAUCGUAAAGCUCUGUUGUAAGUCAAGAACGAGUGUGAGAGUGGAAAGUUCACACUGUGACGGUAGCUUACCAGAAAGGGACGGCUAACUACGUGCCAGCAGCCGCGGUAAUACGUAGGUCCCGAGCGUUGUCCGGAUUUAUUGGGCGUAAAGCGAGCGCAGGCGGUUUGAUGAGUCUGAAGUUAAAGGCUGUGGCUCAACCAUAGUUCGCUUUGGAAACUGUCAAACUUGAGUGCAGAAGGGGAGAGUGGAAUUCCAUGUGUAGCGGUGAAAUGCGUAGAUAUAUGGAGGAACACCGGUGGCGAAAGCGGCUCUCUGGUCUGUAACUGACGCUGAGGCUCGAAAGCGUGGGGAGCGAACAGGAUUAGAUACCCUGGUAGUCCACGCCGUAAACGAUGAGUGCUAGGUGUUGGAUCCUUUCCGGGAUUCAGUGCCGCAGCUAACGCAUUAAGCACUCCGCCUGGGGAGUACGACCGCAAGGUUGAAACUCAAAGGAAUUGACGGGGGCCCGCACAAGCGGUGGAGCAUGUGGUUAAUUCGAAGCAACGCGAAGAACCUUACCAGGUCUUGACAUCCCGAUGCUAUUUCUAGAGAUAGAAAGUUACUUCGGUACAUCGGUGACAGGUGGUGCAUGGUUGUCGUCAGCUCGUGUCGUGAGAUGUUGGGUUAAGUCCCGCAACGAGCGCAACCCCUAUUGUUAGUUGCCAUCAUUCAGUUGGGCACUCUAGCGAGACUGCCGGUAAUAAACCGGAGGAAGGUGGGGAUGACGUCAAAUCAUCAUGCCCCUUAUGACCUGGGCUUCACACGUGCUACAAUGGUUGGUACAACGAGUUGCGAGUCGGUGACGGCAAGCUAAUCUCUUAAAGCCAAUCUCAGUUCGGAUUGUAGGCUGCAACUCGCCUACAUGAAGUCGGAAUCGCUAGUAAUCGCGGAUCAGCACGCCGCGGUGAAUACGUUCCCGGGCCUUGUACACACCGCCCGUCACACCACGAGAGUUUGUAACACCCGAAGUCGGUGAGGUAACCUUUUGGAGCCAGCCGCCUAAGGUGGGAUAGAUGAUUGGGGUGAAGUCGUAACAAGGUA